Molecule: ribosomal RNA, 1050 nt
Filed under: Triticum aestivum (bread wheat)
Lineage: Eukaryota; Viridiplantae; Streptophyta; Magnoliopsida; Poales; Poaceae
Description: partial small subunit ribosomal RNA
Source: RNAcentral
UUAUGGGGAGAAGAGACAGUACGGAUAAGAAAUAGGUAGAUUUUUUAUGGGAUCGUCGUCGGUAGCAGCAUCCGGAGGCGGCGGUCGGUUGUUGCCUCGUGGCCGGCGGUCGAGGGACGAGAGGCGGAGGGACCUUGCAGCCUAGAACGGUGGUAGGGUUUGAGCGGCCGAGAGGGGUGGGGGUUCCAGUGUAGAGAGGGUCCGAGGGGAGGUUGGGACUCAAGGAGCGUAUCCCGUGUCUGACUUUGUUCGCACACCUAGGUUCCGUACGGCGGGGAGGAGGCUGAUCGGUUGGUACCACCGCACCAAGGAGUACGCCAGGAGGAGGCUGGUCGUUUAGUAUCGCCGCACCAAGCAGACUGAACGCGUCCCCGAGAAGAGAGGGUAGCUAGCCGCGGAGCUGAAGCUUAGGAUGUCGGCCGUGGAGCUGAAGUCGAACGUGUCUGGUCGUAGGAAACAACGGUCUAGAAUUGGUGUGGCUCAAGGAGGCCGGCAGCAGCACUUGGAGGUUCGUCUAUUCGGUUGGAAGUACACAUAAAGGGCAAUAUAGAGGUGUGAGAUAAGGAGCGACAAAUAAAAAGUCCUUCUUCCACCUAAUCACCGAUAAAGGUCAUACAUCUACCCUACCGUUACCGAGAAGGAACCAACUUCCUACGUUACGUAGAGCGACUUAAGGUUCGACAUAAUAAAACCCAGAUGGAUCUAUGGGUUCGUCCCCUCUAUUUCCGACGUUAAACCCACCUUUAGAUCCCUCUGUUAAGAGCUACCGUCCAAACACCUCUUCUACAGGGUACUGUUGUGUUAGGUCACGUAUUAACGAAAUCGUCGGCCUUUUUCUCAGUUCUACGUCGCUACGUCACAGUUCACUCGUUACCGUACCGUACUCGUUAACGCCCCGGUCUACGCUCGCGGUGACGACAGGGUGUUACUUGUUCAAUAAGACGACAAAUACUAGUUCCGUAACAAACUAUUCCUUUGGGUAAACGAAGACUUGAUUAGGUGCACCGUUGAAGGUACCAAGUAGAUUAUAUUAAAACUUUCGUUAGACUA